CAGUAGCCGCGGGAAUACGGAGGGUGCAAGCGUUAAUCGGAAUUACUGGGCGUAAAGCGUGCGUAGGCGGUUCGUUAAGUCUGUUGUGAAAGCCCCGGGCUCAACCUGGGAAUGGCAAUGGAUACUGGCGAGCUAGAGUGUGUCAGAGGAUGGUGGAAUUCCCGGUGUAGCGGUGAAAUGCGUAGAGAUCGGGAGGAACAUCAGUGGCGAAGGCGGCCAUCUGGGACAACACUGACGCUGAGGCACGAAAGCGUGGGGAGCAAACAGGAUUAGAUACCCCCGUAGUCCCUGUCUCUUAUAA
Molecule: ribosomal RNA, 301 nt
Filed under: uncultured bacterium
Lineage: Bacteria
Description: partial 16S ribosomal RNA
Rfam family: Bacterial small subunit ribosomal RNA
Source: RNAcentral